RNAcentral lists this ribosomal RNA (253 nucleotides) under uncultured bacterium. Its description in RNAcentral is "partial 16S ribosomal RNA". It matches the Rfam family "Bacterial small subunit ribosomal RNA", at positions 524 to 776 of the family's 1533-position model. The record is from RNAcentral.
UACAGAGGUCUCAAGCGUUGUUCGGAUUCAUUGGGCGUAAAGGGUGCGUAGGCGGCGCGGUAAGUCGGGUGUGAAAUCUCGGAGCUUAACUCCGAAACUGCAUUCGAUACUGCCGUGCUUGAGGACUGGAGAGGAGACUGGAAUUUACGGUGUAGCGGUGAAAUGCGUAGAUAUCGUAAGGAAGACCAGUGGCGAAGGCGGCUCACUGGACCAUAACUGACGCUGAUGCACGAAAGCUGGGGGAGCAAACAGG